RNAcentral lists this ribosomal RNA (289 nucleotides) under uncultured bacterium. Its description in RNAcentral is "partial 16S ribosomal RNA". It matches the Rfam family "Bacterial small subunit ribosomal RNA", at positions 69 to 353 of the family's 1533-position model. The record is from RNAcentral.
CGGGAAGAAGCUUGCUUUCUUUGCCGGCGACCGGCGCACGGGUGAGUAACACGUAUCCAACCUGCCCUUUACUCGGGGAUAGCCUUUCGAAAGAAAGAUUAAUACCCGAUGGCAUAAUGAUUCCGCAUGGUUUCAUUAUUAAAGGAUUCCGGUAAAGGAUGGGGGUGCGUUCCAUUAGGUUGUUGGUGAGGUAACGGCCCACCAAGCCUUCGAUGGAUAGGGGUUCUGAGAGGAAGGUCCCCCACAUUGGAACUGAGACACGGUCCAAACUCCUACGGGAGGCAGCAUG